Molecule: transfer RNA, 92 nt
Filed under: Felis catus (domestic cat)
Lineage: Eukaryota; Metazoa; Chordata; Mammalia; Carnivora; Felidae
Rfam family: tRNA
About the family: Transfer RNA (tRNA) molecules are approximately 80 nucleotides in length. Their secondary structure includes four short double-helical elements and three loops (D, anti-codon, and T loops).
Source: Rfam by way of RNAcentral
GCCUGAGUGGCUCAGUUGGUUAAAGCAUUAGACUCAUGAUUCUGGCUCAGGUCAUGAUCUCAUGGUUUGUGGGUUCGAGCCCGCUUCAGGCU